GUCUCGUUAUUUCUGUUUGGCUCGCCAGGACCGAAAUGAACAUCUUCAAGAAAUCCCGCUCCCGCUCGCCGUCCUUCGAGAUCCCCCGACUGUGCUUGCCGCGACAAAAGAGAUCCACCUCCGUGGACUCCUCCUCUGUGGUGGCGGCGGCCUCCUCCUCUUCCUCCAACAGCCUGGACGUCCCCUUCGAGAACCGGACCCGCUCUUCGAGCUUUGAUGCCAGCAGCCUUCAUGGCGUCAACAUCGACUUGCUGCAGGUGCCCAUUUCCAAGAGUAGCGGGGGCCACCGCUCUCACUCCUUCGACUCUGCGGCGCCAUGGAGUCCCGUGUCGUCCGAUGACAACAUCUCGGACAAGGAGACAUCGUACAGCCUUCAGAUCCCCAAGUACCAGAAGCGGCGCUCCUCGCUCGAGAUCCCCAAGCUCUGCAUGCACUGCGUGCACCUUGAGGCCCUACAGAAGGAGCAGGAGAAGAAGGAACGCAAUUCGUCCCCCAGCGCGGUCUUCUACCUGGGCGAGGCUGGCCGCAACGAGGGUAACAGCGCUGCUUCUUCUCCUUCGACCAGCCCCUCGGGUUCGGAUUGGGAGUCGGAUGGGUCGUAUCUGAGUGACUCGGAAGGGAGCGAGAGCGCUGCCGACGGCAGUGUCGGGGAUGUCAGUGCGGUCGUCAUCCAUCGUCUGGAACCGGCAUCGCCGCAGCAGCAGGGUAGUGAUGCUAGCAGCCAGACGGGGUCAUACACGGACGUGGUGACCCUAGCCGUGCCUACCAUUAAGCAGCGUUCUUCCUCCAUGGACGCGGGUUACAUCACGCGGCCUCCGGAAAGCCCCCGCAAGGCCUCCCUGGACGAGCGCACCCUGCACGCCGUGCAGCAACAGAUCCGAUCCAACUCCGUGGGCGCCUGCCCUACCGCCGGACGCAAAGAGGUGUCGCAGCUCAGCCUUCUGGCCAAUAUCUCGUUGAGUGUCAGGAAAGCGAUAGCCAAGAGCAACUUCAGUCACACAACCUACCUCCACCCGCAGCAUGCCGAGUACCCGGGGUACAAGAAGCCAGACGUCAAAUCACUUAUUGACUGGACGGACCAGGCCGCCAACAGCGACCACCUGUGGGUGGAGACCAAUGCCUCCGGGGACUACUGCUAUGCAAUGGAUCUCGACUGUAAGAAAACAGGUCCGCGGAAGAAAUGCAUCGCCUGCAAAAUUGUUGCCCACACUGCCUGCUUGCCCCUCCUAGAACAGAAAAAUCUGCGGUGUAAACCAACAUUUCGAGAAGCGGGUAUCAGGAACUACAGAGAGCAAACCUUUAUGCGCCAUCAUUGGGUCCAUCGCCGGCGGCAGGAAGGAAAGUGCAAGCAGUGCGGAAAGUCCUUUCAACAGAGGUUUGCAUUUCCUAGCAAGGAUAUCAUUGCAAUCAGCUGUUCAUGGUGCAAGACAGCCUACCACAACAAAACCACCUGCUUCAUGAUGCAGCAGAUUGAGGAACAGUGCACCUUGGGUAUACAUGCCAGUAUCAUCAUUCCCCCAUCAUGGAUAAUAAAACUACCCAAAAAGGGUUCAUUCAAAUCCUCCAUGCGAUCCAGCAAGAAACGGAAAGCUUCAUUAAGGAAGCGGAAAAGCAAAGAUGACUAUCGACCAUUCAUCAUCAAACCCAUUCCAUCACCCCUUAUUAAGCCUGUUCUUGUCUUCAUCAACCCAAAGAGUGGUGGCAACCAAGGAGCAAAACUGUACCACAAGUUCUGCUGGUUACUGAACCCUAGGCAGGUGUUUGACCUGUCGCAAGGUGGACCUCGUUUUGGGUUAGAUCUGUUCAAGAAAGUGCCUAACAUUCGAAUACUUGCUGCUGGUGGAGAUGGAACCGUUGGUUGGAUCCUUUCAACCAUCGACAGUCUGGCACUCAAUCCACCUCCACCUGUGGGAAUCUUACCCAUUGGGACAGGCAAUGAUCUCGCCAGAACCUUGAACUGGGGAGGGGGGUACACAGAUGAACCUAUCUCCAAAAUCUUAUGCAAUGUAGAGGAAGGUCAAGUGGUGCAACUAGACAGGUGGAACAUCGACGUGGAGGAGAACGAUGAGGAAGGAGUUGAAUGUGCAGAGGAAGGCAUGGCGUCGGAUCUGCCUCUUAGUGUCUUCAACAACUACUUCAGCUUAGGAGCCGACGCUCACGUGGCUCUUGAGUUUCAUGAAUCUCGAGAGGCCAAUCCAGAGAAGUUCAACAGUCGGUUCAGAAAUAAAAUGUUUUAUGCUGGGGCGGGUGGGAGAGAUCUUUUAAAAAGGAGUUGGAAGGGAUUUGCUGACCACAUCCAUGUAGAGUGUGAUGGUGUGGACCUGACCCAGAAGAUUCAGGACAUGAAAUUGCACUGUCUGGUCAUCUUAAACAUUCCAAGGUAUGCAAGUGGUACCUUACCAUGGGGUAACCCUAAUGCUGUGGGAUUUGAACCCCAACUACAUGAUGAUGGGUACUUGGAGGUGCUUGGCUUCACAUAUUCCUCACUGGCUACUCUUCAUGUUGGAGGUCACGGAGAACGAUUAACUCAGUGUCGGGAAGUUCGGGUCAAGACCUUCAAGUCUAUGCCCAUGCAGGUUGAUGGUGAGCCAUGCCGUCUGCGUCCCUCAAAAAUCAACAUCAACUUCCGCAACCAGGCCAACAUGAUCGUCAAACCAAAACGACGGGGCUCCAUGCCCAUUGCAAAUGAUCCUGAUUUUGCUUUUUUCAGUCCACCUUCCCUCCCAGAGCGGCUUCGCAUUCAAGUCAGCCGUAUCAGCAUGGCCGACUACGAAGCCUUACAAUAUGAUAAAGAAAAGUUACGGGCAGCUUCGGUCCCCUUGGGCAUCAUCGUAGUGGAGAACAAUGCUGACCUGGAGCAGGUGCGCUACCAGAUCAACAAAUUACAGGUGGUGGAUUACCAAGGGACAGAUGCUCAAGGAGGCAGCAGCGUGCCAUCACAGCAGCUGUCACAGAAAUGGUGCUUCCUGGAUUCCACCACAGCAGAGAAGUUCUUCCGCAUCGACAGAUCCCAGGAGUCAUUACAUUUUAUCACAGACAUUUCUUCCGAAGACCUGUACAUUAUGGACCCUGAACUGAGUCCACGAGUGCGUCUUUCUCCAGGUCUUUCAGGCGCUGGCGCCCCCAAUGGCCAUGGAGAGACAACCCCAACGGGCAUUUCAGUUCGCUCCUGUAUGUCGGCUUCCUCCUCAGCUAUGUCAUUUGCCUUUCCAGUCACCCCACCCAAGUCACCCAUGCUUCGGUCACCAGAGUUUCCUACCUUGCCUCUGCUGGUGGAGAACAUGGAGAACUUCCUACUAGUGCCUCCGCCCCCUGGCCCCAACAGCAGGUCUCCCCCUCAGCCCUUUUCUCAGAACCAGGGACACCUAACUCUACCACAGGACACGAUAAGCACUAUAACUUCAACCUUGUCUCCCAUGCGACUACUGAAGCUGUGCCACGCAUAACCUCACCAUUAGAGAAAGCAUUACUUGAUGCUUCUAAAAGAGGGGAACUGCAAAAGCUGUGUGAAGCUUACCACAAAGGUGCUGACCUGUUGGUGACAGACCAGUAUGGUAUGACUGCUCUACAUCACGCUGCACGCUUUGGUCACAAAAAUACUGUCAA
This 3606-nucleotide unclassified non-coding RNA is filed under the name Pomacea canaliculata. RNAcentral describes it as "diacylglycerol kinase zeta-like, transcript variant X9". The record is from RNAcentral. Lineage: Eukaryota; Metazoa; Mollusca; Gastropoda; Architaenioglossa; Ampullariidae.